CUAGAAAGGCAGAUUGGUGCAGAAAUGGCAGAAGAGGAGGGUAGCCUUGUUAGAACAGUGUCUGGCACACAGUUCCUGCUUUGUAAGUGCACAGGCAUGAUUAAGAAGAUGGGCUCUGCUGUGAGGCGAACUUCAGCACAAAUUCUGACUCUGCCACUGACAGUGUCGCCCUGGGAGAGUUAAAUGAAAGAAUGCUACCAAAACCUCAGCACUCAUCUGGCACAGAGUGAGGGCUCAGUAAAUAUCAGCUGCUACUGCUGUAUGCCAGUCACACAGAAAAACCAUCAGGAUGCAGGCCAAAAACCAAAUGGCCCUUGUGACUUGGGAUAAAGUUUCCGGUGACUGAAUCAUAUGUGGAUUCAAAUUGUGCUGUGUCCUAUCCCAAACUCUUCACUUGGACUGGAGAGAAGGUUAUCCAUUCUGGGAAAAUAGAGCCACCAGACUAAGGAAGGAUGUUGUGUGGAGCCAUGAGAAUGGAUGUGGUUACCUAUGGAGAAUAUGUAGUGAGAAGCGGGUCUGUCAAGGGGUGAGUGACAGAAGAAGAUUCACAAGAGAGAUUGGGAAGAAGCAACUGACAAGACGUAUUUAUUUGAGAGAGGAUGAAUGGGAGGGGCAAAUGAAGAGGGAGA
Molecule: long non-coding RNA, 629 nt
Organism: Canis lupus familiaris (dog)
Lineage: Eukaryota; Metazoa; Chordata; Mammalia; Carnivora; Canidae
Exons: 6
Source: RefSeq, a predicted model, not a curated record